This 473-nucleotide ribosomal RNA is filed under the name uncultured bacterium. RNAcentral describes it as "bacterial SSU rRNA". It matches the Rfam family "Bacterial small subunit ribosomal RNA", at positions 335 to 799 of the family's 1533-position model. The record is from RNAcentral.
ACUCCUACGGGAGGCAGCAGUGGGGAAUUUUGGACAAUGGGGGGCAACCCUGAUCCAGCCAUCCCGCGUGUGCGAUGAAGGCCUUCGGGUUGUAAAGCACUUUUGGCAGGGAAGAAACAGCCUGGGCUAAUAUCCCGGGCGACUGACGGUACCUGCAGAAUAAGCACCGGCUAACUACGUGCCAGCAGCCGCGGUAAUACGUAGGGUGCAAGCGUUAAUCGGAAUUACUGGGCGUAAAGCGUGCGCAGGCGGUUCGGAAAGAAAGGUGUGAAAUCCCAGGGCUUAACCUUGGAACUGCACUUUUAACUACCGGGCUAGAGUACGUCAGAGGGGGGUAGAAUUCCACGUGUAGCAGUGAAAUGCGUAGAGAUGUGGAGGAAUACCGAUGGCGAAGGCAGCCCCCUGGGAUGAUACUGACGCUCAUGCACGAAAGCGUGGGGAGCAAACAGGAUUAGAUACCCUGGUAGCGAGUA